Molecule: ribosomal RNA, 253 nt
Filed under: uncultured bacterium
Lineage: Bacteria
Description: partial 16S ribosomal RNA
Rfam family: Bacterial small subunit ribosomal RNA
Source: RNAcentral
UACGUAGGGUGCGAGCGUUAAUCGGAAUUACUGGGCGUAAAGCGUGCGCAGGCGGUUACCUAAGACAGAUGUGAAAUCCCCGGGCUUAACCUGGGAACUGCGUUUGUGACUGUGUGACUAGAGUACGGCAGAGGGGGGUGGAAUUCCUGGUGUAGCAGUGAAAUGCGUAGAUAUCAGGAGGAAUAUCGAUGGCGAAGGCAGCCCCCUGGGCCUGUACUGACGCUCAUGCACGAAAGCGUGGGGAGCAAACAGG